UCGCGGCUUAUCACCGGCAGUCCCCUUAGAGUGCCCAACUGAAUGAUGGCAACUAAGGGCGAGGGUUGCGCUCGUUGCGGGACUUAACCCAACAUCUCACGACACGAGCUGACGACAGCCAUGCAGCACCUGUGUUCCCGCCAGCCGAACUGAAGGAUCCCAUCUCUGGGACCCAUACGGGACAUGUCAAAGGUUGGUAAGGUUCUGCGCGUUGCUUCGAAUUGAACCACAUGCUCCACCGCUUGUGCGGGCCCCCGUCAAUUCCUUUGAGUUUCAGCCUUGCGACUGUACUCCCCAGGCGGUAUACUUAACGCGUUCGCUACGGCACAACCGGGGUUGAAUCCAGUUACACCAAGUAUACAUCGUUUAUAGCAAGGACUAC
RNAcentral lists this unclassified non-coding RNA (382 nucleotides) under uncultured Alphaproteobacteria bacterium. Its description in RNAcentral is "contains 16S-23S intergenic spacer region". Lineage: Bacteria; Pseudomonadati; Pseudomonadota; Alphaproteobacteria. The record is from RNAcentral.